AACUAAUGAGCUUGAAUAAGCAUAUAUUUUGAAAAUAUAAGAUAAAGACAUUACUUUAUUAGCUU
RNAcentral lists this transfer RNA (65 nucleotides) under Clambus sp. CLA01. Its description in RNAcentral is "tRNA-Ser". The record is from RNAcentral. Lineage: Eukaryota; Metazoa; Arthropoda; Insecta; Coleoptera; Clambidae.